This 460-nucleotide ribosomal RNA is filed under the name uncultured bacterium. Its description in RNAcentral is "bacterial SSU rRNA". It matches the Rfam family "Bacterial small subunit ribosomal RNA", at positions 917 to 1382 of the family's 1533-position model. The record is from RNAcentral.
GGGCCCGCACAAGCAGCGGAGCAUGUGGCUUAAUUCGAAGCAACGCGAAGAACCUUACCAGGGCUUGACAUCCAGGUGAAGCGGCGGAAACGCCGUGGCCGAGAGGAGCCUGGACAGGUGGUGCAUGGCUGUCGUCAGCUCGUGUCGUGAGAUGUUGGGUUAAGUCCCGCAACGAGCGCAACCCUCGUCGCAUGUUGCCAGCGGUUCGGCCGGGCACCCAUGCGAGACCGCCGGCGUCAAGCCGGAGGAAGGUGGGGACGACGUCAAGUCAUCAUGCCCCUUAUGUCCUGGGCUGCACACGUGCUACAAUGACCGGCACAAUGGGCUGCCACUGCGCGAGCAGGAGCGAAUCCCCAAAGCCGGCCCCAGUUCGGAUUGGAGGCUGCAACCCGCCUCCAUGAAGUCGGAGUUGCUAGUAAUCGCGGAUCAGCACGCCGCGGUGAAUGCGUUCCCGGGCCUU